UUUUAGCAGAAGCAUUACUUUGUUGACCAUUCUGCCCACGCUUCUUGAGUCUUGUCGCACAACAUUCGGGGCAAUUUGGUAAAUGCAAUAGAGUUUGAUAUUCCCUUGUUGCAGGAAGUGGUCCCACGUGGAUAGAGUAAUAAGAAAGCAGACGAACCCAACUUCUACAACAUCCUGACCGUCAAAAUUCACAUCAUCGGCACCAUUAAAAACUCGUGUGGGUAAGCGACAACUACACGUUUUACAAGACCAACACCAACAAACAAUAUCAGAAUCAGAAGAAGAAACCAAAGCAAAGCAAAGCAAAACUCUCUAUCUCUUGAAAACAUUCUUGUAAUAACAAAAGGGAUUAAAGUUGAUUGGUGAAGUUGUUGUUGUUCAGUGGAGAAAUGGAAGAAGAUAAUAAGGUGGUUGUUAAUGGCUUCUCUCCGGUAACUUCCACUCCGGUAUUCUGGAAAUCUCGUAAGAGAUCAGGUAACUUAUUAUUAUUAUUGACCCUUUCAUUUCAUUGUGUGUUUCAAUGAUUUUUAUAUUAGUGUGCAAAGAUACGGGUUUAAUUGUGAGUAAUAAUAUUAGAUCUAUGCCCCUGUUGUCGAAAAUUAUUUAUAAACUAGUUUUUGCCCCGUCCGCGUUGCGGGGCAAUUUUGAGUUAGAGGCGAAAUCAUAAUUUUAAAUUGAGAGCAAAAUCAUAAUUUUAUUUUGAACUGUGGGCAAAAACGUAAUUUUGAGCUGAGGGCAGAAUCAUAAUUUUAAGGUAGAGGGAAAACAAAAAUUUUAUUUUGAACUGGGGGCAAAACCGUAAUUUUAAACGAAGGGCAAAGCCGUAAAUUUAAACUGAGAACAAAAUUAAAAAUGAGUUUUUGAACCGAGGGUAAAAGCGUAAUUUUGAGCUAGGGGCGAAAUUAUAAUUUUAUUUUGAACUGGGGCAAGAACGUAUUUUUAAAUGAAGGACGAAAGCGUAAUUUUAAACUGAAAAUAAAAUAAAAUUUAAAAAAGGUUGGUCGAAUGGGGGAGUGCUAGGCAGCUGCCUGACACUAUUCCCCUAUCUUGUAAUUGUAUAUGUAAAUAAUAAUUCUAGAGUUCCAUACAAACACAAGUCAUGUAAUUGGGUUUUUUUUUUAGUGAUAAUAAAAACAACAAUAACAUAAUUCUAUUAAUUGGUAACAAGCGUGAUAUAUUGAUGAGAGUGCAUUUUAGAACCAAUCUUAUGUUUAAGAACUCAUGUUUUAUCAUAAGUGUAGCGCAUAAGACGGUUACAUAUCAACAUACCUCAUUAUUAUUUCAUUUAAUGCACUACAUACAAUACAAAUGUUUUAUGGUCAAUUACAAUUUUCAACAAACUAUUUAAAAAGAAGUAAAAUUAGAUUAAAGAAUAAGAUAGUAUUUUAAAAAGAGUUCAACGGUUCUUUUAAAAGACCGGGUGUACAUUUUGAUACUUCAAAGACUUUUCCUUAUUUUGAACAGACCACGAGCCACGGUGACUGCAAAUAAUAAUAAUAAAACUACCCUCGUGUGUGCUCUUUGUUUUUCAAAAUAAAAGGGCCUUACUUUUCUCAGUAACCUUUAAACAAAGUUACAACUACGACUUUUUCCCCAACUAAUCAAUUGAAAUUAAUAACGUUAUAGUAAAAGUUUGAUUAUAAUUUAUAAUUCUAUAAACUACUAAUUUAUUCAAUAAACUACUUGUAAUUAAAUAUUAUAAUAUUUUUUUUGUGCCACUUGAAUCUAAUAAAGUUGGUAAGUUGUUGAAGUUUUAUUAUCUUCCCUACCCAACUAACCACUUAGGAAUUAAUAAAGGUUUUUUUUUUUUUUUUUUUUUUUUUUUUUUUUUUUUUUUUUGAAAGACCAACAAAAAUUUAGAAAUUAAUAAAGUUAGUAAGUUUGAUAAUGAUCUUAUAGCAUUAUCAUAAUUGUAGGUAUUUCAUGGGUACACGAAAUCAAUAAUCAGAUAACACAAAGUGUACUUUAAAGAACGAUAUAUUCUUCUAUGUAUUUUAAAGAACGAUAUACUCUUCUAUGUAUUUUAAAGAAGAUGUAUUCUUCUAUGCUUAAUUUAUGGUGGAGCCAUUACAAUGGUUGGGGUGAAACGUCGCCUCUCUUUGUGUAAGAGUGCAACUGAAGUCAGUCAUAACCAGUGGCUGAUCUUGCCCGUUGAACGUGCCAGGGCCGAAAGACAAGGGCACUAAAAAAAGCCCGGGCAAGCCCGGGCAAGCCCGGGCCAAACAUAGUAUAUAUAAAAAGUUUCAUUCGAAAUGCGAAAAAUUAGCACUACGGCCGAAAAACUUGCCCGGGCCGUGGCCCUGCCAGUGACCUUCUAAGAACCGCCCCUGGUCAUAACUAUUGGCAGUUAGUGGUUAUAUCAAUGUGAGCCAUCAGUUGCCUCGAGCGUGUACUCCACACCUAAAUAAGAAUUGAACCGAAAGGAUAGAGAGAUCGACGGCCUAAACGAGCAAUUGGAAGAGGACUCGCGCGUCCUGGAACAUCUUCAAUUGCAGCUGCUGGACGAAAGAAGUAAACGUGCGGAUGUGGAACGACAAAAUGCUUUGUUGCAGAACCAGGUUGAUAUGUUGAUGAACAUGCUUCAGGAGCCUCCUGAGAACAUAGAAGAGGAUGAACUUCCACAAGUUUACAUCUGUUAUUUAUUUGUUUGUUUGUUUGGCAUAUGGAGAGCUACCAAAAUAUUUAUAGAUAUAGCACCAAAUGUAUCAAAUUACAUGUAUAAUUUGUUUUUUUAUAUAUGUAUAAAAAGUACUGCAAGUAUUAAUAUUUGUUAACUAAA
Helianthus annuus (common sunflower) is the source of this 2779-nucleotide long non-coding RNA. RefSeq lists it as uncharacterized. The transcript has 2 exons. The record is from RefSeq and is a predicted model, not a curated record. Lineage: Eukaryota; Viridiplantae; Streptophyta; Magnoliopsida; Asterales; Asteraceae.